Molecule: small RNA, 125 nt
Filed under: Marmota monax (woodchuck)
Lineage: Eukaryota; Metazoa; Chordata; Mammalia; Rodentia; Sciuridae
Source: RNAcentral
GCCAGGUGCCAUGAUGCACACCUGUAAUCCCAGUGACUUGGGAGGCUGAGGCAGGAGGAUCUCAAGUUCAAAGCCAGUCUUAGCAAUGUUGAGGCACUAAGCAACUCAGUGAGACCCUGUCUCUA